RNAcentral lists this ribosomal RNA (619 nucleotides) under uncultured bacterium. RNAcentral describes it as "bacterial SSU rRNA". It matches the Rfam family "Bacterial small subunit ribosomal RNA", at positions 338 to 946 of the family's 1533-position model. The record is from RNAcentral.
CCUACGGGAGGCAGCAGUGGGGAAUAUUGCACAAUGGGCGCAAGCCUGAUGCAGCCAUGCCGCGUGUAUGAAGAAGGCCUUCGGGUUGUAAAGUACUUUCAGCGGGGAGGAAGGGAGUAAAGUUAAUACCUUUGCUCAUUGACGUUACCCGCAGAAGAAGCACCGGCUAACUCCGUGCCAGCAGCCGCGGUAAUACGGAGGGUGCAAGCGUUAAUCGGAAUUACUGGGCGUAAAGCGCACGCAGGCGGUUUGUUAAGUCAGAUGUGAAAUCCCCGGGCUCAACCUGGGAACUGCAUCUGAUACUGGCAAGCUUGAGUCUCGUAGAGGGGGGUAGAAUUCCAGGUGUAGCGGUGAAAUGCGUAGAGAUCUGGAGGAAUACCGGUGCGAAGGCGGCCCCCUGGACGAAGACUGACGCUCAGGUGCGAAAGCGUGGGGAGCAAACAGGAUUAGGAUACCCUGGUAGUCCACGCCGUAAACGAUGUCGACUUGGAGGUUGUGCCCUUGAGGCGUGGCUUCCGGAGCUAACGCGUUAAGUCGACCGCCUGGGGAGUACGGCCGCAAGGUUAAAACUAGAAAGUAGUGGACGUGNGAGAGCGACGACGACGACGAGGAGGAGGAG